AUUGAACGCUGGCGGCAUGCCUUACACAUGCAAGUCGAACGGUAACAGGUCUUCGGAUGCUGACGAGUGGCGAACGGGUGAGUAAUAUAUCGGAACGUACCCAGUCGUGGGGGAUAACUAUCCGAAAGGAUAGCUAAUACCGCAUACGUCCUGAGGGAGAAAGCGGGGGAUCGCAAGACCUCGCGCGAUUGGAGCGGCCGAUAUCGGAUUAGCUAGUUGGUGAGGUAAAGGCUCACCAAGGCGACGAUCCGUAGCUGGUCUGAGAGGACGACCAGCCACACUGGAACUGAGACACGGUCCAGACUCCUACGGGAGGCAGCAGUGGGGAAUUUUGGACAAUGGGGGCAACCCUGAUCCAGCCAUUCCGCGUGAGUGAAGAAGGCCUCGGUUGUAAGACUCUUUCGGUCAGGAACGAAACGGACGUACGUCUCUAACACUAGGGG
RNAcentral lists this ribosomal RNA (443 nucleotides) under uncultured bacterium. RNAcentral's name for it is "bacterial SSU rRNA". It matches the Rfam family "Bacterial small subunit ribosomal RNA", at positions 30 to 474 of the family's 1533-position model. The record is from RNAcentral.